AUAAGAACGAUGACAGGGAAAAGUAGACAGAUUUUAUUCAUUCAGAGAGUGGAGGUUGGUGCGAAUCCAUAGGAUGAAUUUGUUGAAAAUCUUCAUCCUCGAGUUGCAGGCUGAAAUAAUAGUAAGCCCCGCCGGCAGAGCCGUUAAAAAAAAUGAGAAAAAAAUUGGGUGGUACCGCGAAAGACUUUUUGCCCCAGUG
RNAcentral lists this non-coding RNA (199 nucleotides) under Clostridia bacterium. RNAcentral describes it as "T-box sequence". It matches the Rfam family "T-box leader". From Rfam's summary of the family: Uncharged tRNA acts as the effector for transcription antitermination of genes in the T-box leader family. T-boxes are found upstream of many aminoacyl-tRNA synthetase genes and some amino acid biosynthetic genes usually in Gram-positive bacteria. The record is from RNAcentral. Lineage: Bacteria; Bacillati; Bacillota; Clostridia.